Molecule: long non-coding RNA, 1176 nt
Filed under: Ananas comosus (pineapple)
Lineage: Eukaryota; Viridiplantae; Streptophyta; Magnoliopsida; Poales; Bromeliaceae
Description: long non-coding RNA (ACOM_LNC007460)
Source: RNAcentral
AUAUAUAUAUAUAUAUAUAUAUAUAUAUAUAUAUAUAGAGAGAGAGAGAGAGAGAGAGAGAGAGAGAGAGAGAGAGAGAGAGAGAGAACUAGUGCUAUUAAUAGCACUAAGUCAUUGGUGCUAUCAAGUUUUUUACCGUUGGAUUAAGAGAUGUGCGGUUAGGAUGAUGUGGGCCUCCUAGGGUUGAGUGGGUGGUUGGUUGAAUAGUAUGAUUUAACGGAUGAAAAUGAUCAAAAGGGUAGAUCUAAUGGUGGAAAACUUGGUAGCACCAAGUGCUUUGUGCUAUCAAUAGCAUAGUAACCGGACUCAUAUAUAUAUGGAAAAACUUCAAAAACCCUCCAUGUGGUUUCGUAGUUUCUCACUUUACCCUCCUGUGGUUUAAAAUGUAUCAAUUUGCCCCCCUGUGGUUUCUUUUUUCUCUUUUUCUUAUCAAUUUUAUUAUUUUUUUUCUUAAAUCAGUGAUAAAGUUAAUUUAAAGGGUACUAAAGUAAAUAUUUGAUAAAUCUAGAUGGGUAUCUGAAGUUUUUUGUAUAUAAUUUAAUGAAAUAUUAACGAAAAAGCUACCGAAAAGAUAAAAACGAAACCACAGGGGGGCAAUUUGAUACAUUUUAAACCACAAGGGGGCAAAGUGAGAAACUACGAAACCACAAAGGAGGUUUUUGAAGUUUUCCCUAUAUAUAUAGAGAGAGAGAGAGAGAGUCGUUACUAUCAUUUUCGUGCUUAUAAGUCGUUUGCGAUAAUAAAACUUCCUACUUGACGAUCCAUACAGUUAAACAUGACUUAGAGCAUUUGAAACUUCUAGAAAUUAAAAUUUAAAAUUUUUCACCAUCAUCUACCUUAUGACCAAAAGAUUUCAAAAUUGAUAUUUUUUAACGGCCGGUGCGAAAUGCUUGUUAGUUUAACGAUAAAAGUAUCGGAAUUGAUUAAAUUUUUUAUAGAAAAUUCUAUUCACAAUAUGAAUAAAGAUCAAAAAGUCCGAUCUUACCUGUUUUUAAAAAGUCGUUUAAUUUUGAUCGUCCAUUUUAUACCACCUGUCUGAUGGACUUUAGUAUUGCUUCGAAAAAAAGAAAAACGACUUUUUACUUACGAUCUCCAGUACCAAUCAUGCAUCAAAUUUUUUGUCCCUUGCGUUAGGAACAGUCGGUAACAGAUUUGUUGAGUCUAGUGUUCUUAAGC